RNAcentral lists this ribosomal RNA (1582 nucleotides) under Skvortzovia furfurella. RNAcentral's name for it is "eukaryotic LSU rRNA". The stretch from base 332 to 1582 matches the Rfam family "Eukaryotic large subunit ribosomal RNA", at positions 1 to 1244 of the family's 3401-position model. Lineage: Eukaryota; Fungi; Basidiomycota; Agaricomycetes; Hymenochaetales. The record is from RNAcentral.
AUAAGUAAUGUGANUGCAGAAUUCAGUGAAUCAUCGAAUCUUUGAACGCACCUUGCGCUCCUUGGUAUUCCGAGGAGCAUGCCUGUUUGAGUGUCGUGAAAUCCUCAAGCCGUGCCGUUUGCUGUUUACAGUUCGGUACGGUUUGGACUUGGGGGUCUAUCGAUGUCGUCCUCGCGGAUGGCUCCCCUGGAAUGCAUUGGCUCGAGGUUGGCUCGUGGCGGUUCACGGCGUGAUAAGAAAUGAAAGUUACGUCCUGAUAAUCCCGCGGCGUGUCAGAUGGCCUCGGGCUGGCCGGCGACGAUCUCUUUUGAUGUCGUGCACUCUUUGACUUUGACCUCAAAUCAGGCAGGACUACCCGCUGAACUUAAGCAUAUCAAUAAGCGGAGGAAAAGAAACUAACAAGGAUUCCCCUAGUAACUGCGAGUGAAGCGGGACAAGCUCAAAUUUAAAAUCUGGCGGCCUUGCCGUCCGAGUUGUAAUCUGGAGAAGCGUUUUCUGCGCYGGACCGUGUACAAGUCUCUUGGAACAGAGCGUCGCAGAGGGUGAGAAUCCCGUCUUUGACACGGACUGCCGGUGCUUCACGAGGCGCUCUCGAAGAGUCGAGUUGUUUGGGAAUGCAGCUCAAAGUGGGUGGUAAAUUCCAUCUAAAGCUAAAUAUUGGCGAGAGACCGAUAGCGAACAAGUACCGUGAGGGAAAGAUGAAAAGCACUUUGGAAAGAGAGUUAAACAGUACGUGAAAUUGUUGAAAGGGAAGCGCUUGAAGUCAGUCGCGUCGUCCGGAACUCAGCCUUGCUUUGCCUGGUGUACUUUCCGGUUGACGGGCCAACGUCGAUUUUGGCCGGCGGAAAAAAGUGGAGGGAAUGUGGCACCUCCGGGUGUGUUAUAGCCCUCCAUUGGACGCGUCGGCUGGGAUCGAGGACCGCAGCACGCCUUUUGGCCGGGGUUCGCCCACAGUAACGUGCUUAAGGAUGUUGGCGUAAUGGCUUUAAACGACCCGUCUUGAAACACGGCCAAGGAGUCUAACAUGCCCGCGAGUGUUAGGGUGGAAAACCCUUGCGCGCAACGAAAGUGAAAGUUGGGACCUCUGUCGUGGAGGGCACCGACGCCCGGCCUUGAACUACUGUGACGGUGCCGCGGUGGAGCGUGCAUGUUGGGACCCGAAAGAUGGUGAACUAUGCCUGAAUAGGGUGAAGCCAGAGGAAACUCUGGUGGAGGCUCGUAGCGAUUCUGACGUGCAAAUCGAUCGUCAAAUUUGGGUAUAGGGGCGAAAGACUAAUCGAACCAUCUAGUAGCUGGUUCCUGCCGAAGUUUCCCUCCAGGAUAGCAGAAGCUCGUGUCAGAUUUAUGUGGUAAAGCGAAUGAUUAGAGGCCUUGGGGUCGAAACGACCUUAACCUAUUCUCAAACUUUAAAUAUGUAAGAACAAGCCGUCUCUUGAUUGGACCGCUUGGCGAUUGAGAGCUUCUAGUGGGGCAUUUUUGGUAAGCAGAACUGGCGAUGCGGGAUGAACCGAACGCCAAGUUAAGCGCCGGAGUACACGCUCAUCAGACACCACAAAAGGGGUKAGUUCAUCUAGACAGCAGG